AUGCUUGCUUGGCAGUACUUAUAUUAAAACUGGAAUGAUAGAGAGAUUAACAUGGUCCCAUUCAAGGAUGACAUACAAAUUUAUAAAGCAUUCCAUAUUUUA
Small nuclear RNA from Monodelphis domestica (gray short-tailed opossum), 102 nucleotides. NCBI's taxonomy places the organism in Eukaryota, Metazoa, Chordata, Mammalia, Didelphimorphia, Didelphidae. The record is from Ensembl.